UUGCAGUGAUGACCAUCUUAGGACACCUUUGGAGUUCACUAUGAAAAUUCAACUUAUUCUGAGCAAC
This is a small nucleolar RNA of Rhinichthys klamathensis goyatoka, 67 nucleotides long. RefSeq annotates it as small nucleolar RNA SNORD58. The record is from RefSeq and is a predicted model, not a curated record. Lineage: Eukaryota; Metazoa; Chordata; Actinopteri; Cypriniformes; Leuciscidae. The transcript has a single exon.